RNAcentral lists this transfer RNA (72 nucleotides) under Candidatus Epulonipiscium sp. RNAcentral describes it as "tRNA-Gly". It matches the Rfam family "tRNA". Rfam says of the family: Transfer RNA (tRNA) molecules are approximately 80 nucleotides in length. Their secondary structure includes four short double-helical elements and three loops (D, anti-codon, and T loops). Further hydrogen bonds mediate the characteristic L-shaped molecular structure. tRNAs have two regions of fundamental functional importance: the anti-codon, which is responsible for specific mRNA codon recognition, and the 3' end, to which the tRNAs corresponding amino acid is attached (by aminoacyl-tRNA synthetases). tRNAs cope with the degeneracy of the genetic code in two manners: having more than one tRNA (with a specific anti-codon) for a particular amino acid; and 'wobble' base-pairing, i.e. permitting non-standard base-pairing at the 3rd anti-codon position. Lineage: Bacteria; Bacillati; Bacillota; Clostridia; Lachnospirales; Lachnospiraceae. The record is from RNAcentral.
GCAGAUAUAGUCUAGAGGUUAAGAUCCCUGACUUCCAAUCAGGAUACACGGGUUCGACUCCCGUUAUCUGCU